RNAcentral lists this long non-coding RNA (1270 nucleotides) under Apteryx rowi (Okarito brown kiwi). RNAcentral describes it as "lncRNA (ENSARWG00000004172.1)". Lineage: Eukaryota; Metazoa; Chordata; Aves; Apterygiformes; Apterygidae. The record is from RNAcentral.
AGCUAGAAUAAUUUCUACACGUGGGUGUCAGGAAAGAAGGAGCUGCUCUGCCCCUGGUUCAGCUGCUGCCGGCAUACUGCAGCUGCCCCGCUCGGGGGUACUGCUGCGCACUGGCGGGCUCUGAGACGAGCUGCGCAAAGAGUCAGAGGACCGAAACCCGCCGAUGGUGAGAGCGCUGCGGAGCUCUGCCUGCUCCAUUCAGUUUGCUACAGAGACCUGAUCACAGUCUCCAAGUGCCUGCAGGGAGAGCAGCGGGACGAUUAGAGAAUGCCCUUCAAGCUACCAGAAAGCUCUUUAUGGCUCGAGGAUCCUCCGUGUCCACAAUGCCRCUUUGCUCAACACCGUGGGGAGGACGGUGGUCGUGGCCCAAGGUGGGCAGGCGCGAGCGGGGCRGCGGCGGCGGCUCGGGGCAGCUCUGUCGGAGAAACACGGUCCCACCUCUGCGCGGGGAAGGGAUUUUGCCGAGUUUGAAUUGACCAAGACCUGGGACCUUCAGAAGCGAGAGCCGGUCCGUGUAAGACCCUGCAGUUCCCGCUGGGGCCUGGCGCUCUCGCUGACCGUGGAGAUGGGCCGGAGAAACCAGGCCCAGCACCAGCACCGUGCCUGGUGCCCGGGGGGACAGGAGACCGCAGGCCCCGGUGGCCCGUCCUGCACAGACCCUGCUGAGGGCCGGUGCUGCCGCACACGAGCCCUGUUCGCCGCAGGGUGGGAUUUCAGCAGCCGACCGGGUGCACUGCAUGUCUCCGAGCGGCAGCACCUCCCCUGCCAGCACGGAACGGCGUUCCGCUAGGAAACAUUCCCCCCAGAAUUGUCCUCAAAAUACAAUACAGUAAGAGCUAAUACAAGAGGGUAGCAUCAGUCUGGAAUAUCACCGCUCACAGAGCCUGAGGAGCUGGAAUUGCCCCUGGAGGCGCGGGGCACCGGCUGCCUUCCGGGCUCUUCGGCGCUGGUCUCACUUGCAGCCCUGUCCUGCCCUCGAGCGCCUGGGCGGCUGCAACGUCCAGCUGCCUGCUGGCAAACAAACACAGCAGAUGGCUCUCACCUUGUCUCCAGUUUUUAAUUUUGUGACAGACCUACGCAGAACAUACAGCUGCACAAAAGGGAGAACUGGAAUGAAGCAAGUGAGAGCUACGAAUGGGAGCCAGCAUCUUCUGUGCGUCAACUCAAAGUGCCACAAGACACCUUCACCUUUAUAGUGCUGGAUUCGUUCCUCACCUCUGUCGCGUUUCCUCCUUCAAUAAAAUGAAUGCGGUGACAUUUUGUUUGUGCA